This 253-nucleotide ribosomal RNA is filed under the name uncultured bacterium. Its description in RNAcentral is "partial 16S ribosomal RNA". It matches the Rfam family "Bacterial small subunit ribosomal RNA", at positions 524 to 776 of the family's 1533-position model. The record is from RNAcentral.
UACGUAGGAUGCAAGCGUUGUUCGGAAUUACUGGGCGUAAAGAGUACGUAGGCGGUUUGGUAAGUCUGAUAUUAAAGACCGGAGCUCAACUUCGGGACUGUAUCGGAAACUGUCAGACUAGAGGACAAUAGAGGAAGUCGGAAUUCUCAGUGUAGCGGUGAAAUGCGUAGAUAUCGGGAAGAACACCAGUGGCGAAAGCGGACUUCUGGGCAGUAACUGACGCUGAGGAGCGAAAGCGUGGGGAGCGAACAGG